GCAGGUAUAGUUCAUCGGUAGAAUGCGAGCUUCCCAAGCUUGAGAGGAGGGUUCGAUUCCCUUUACCUGCUCCA
Molecule: transfer RNA, 74 nt
Filed under: Oscillospiraceae bacterium
Lineage: Bacteria; Bacillati; Bacillota; Clostridia; Eubacteriales; Oscillospiraceae
Description: tRNA-Gly
Rfam family: tRNA
About the family: Transfer RNA (tRNA) molecules are approximately 80 nucleotides in length. Their secondary structure includes four short double-helical elements and three loops (D, anti-codon, and T loops).
Source: RNAcentral